UUCCGUGUUCAUCAUCUUAGUUUAGUACAGCAUUUCCCAAACUUAGGCUCAAGACCCACCCGUUUACCCCCCACCCCUCUCUCUUCUUGCCAUCCUGGACCUGAAAAUGUGUUUGCACUCUCUGGUGUAGGCUGGGUUGAGGUUACAUUGAGUGUGACUUCUGUGAUUCCCUCACUCUCAGUUGUGUGCAUGGUCAAAGCAAAACAUACAAGAAAGAGUUUAUUAAUGUUGGCUUCACCAGAGCCAUUGGAAAGGAAGGAGAUGCUCAGUCAUUAAAAGAGAGAUUAAAAAUGAACAAAUUGGUCAGACAUCUCCAAAUGAAGCAUUCUCAGCAUCGGGACAAGUCGAAAGAUUUUUCCUGUGCAAAGAAGAGACUUUCAGGAGACAGUGUUUUGACAGCGGAAAAGCAUUCAAAGGGAACAAAGCAGCACUGAAGGCAUCAUACCAAGUCAGCCUCCACAUUGCCAAGGCACAGAAGCCCCAUUGGGGAGCAGCUGAUAAAGCUGUGUUUAAAAGAUGUGUGUCUCUUUCUCUCUUGGGUGAAAAAGCAGUGAAUAAAGUUGAGUCUGUCCCACUCUCAAAUAACAGUGUUGCAAACAGAAUCAAGGACAUGGCAGCGGGCAUUCAAAAGUCAGUUACAGAGGAAAUAUUGGAACACAAAAUAUUUUCACUGCAGUAACUUUUGAUCUGAGAGUCUGUUGAUGUUGCUGGUAGUCCCCAGUUAACGGUCUUCGCCAGAUACAUCAGUGGUAAGGAUAUCAAGUUCCUCCUCUGUAACUGGCUGCACACAACAACAAUGGGACAGGAUAUUUUCAGAGUGAUGGACACAAAUUUGAAAGACCUGAAAUGGGAAUGGAUUAACUGUAUUGGAAUUUGCACCAAUGGCACCAGGAGCAUGACUGGGUGCAGGUCUGGUUUUGUGGCUCAUGUUCAUAUUGGUCCCAAAUAUGAAGCUGACACAUUUUAUCAUCGACAGGGAAACUUUGGCCUGCACAGAGCUAUGCAGGGAAAUGGGGGCAGAGCAUGAGCACCUGCUUUUUCACUGUGAGGUGAGAUGGCUCUCCAGGGGAAGAGCUCUGCAGAGAGUGUGGGAGCUGAGAGAAGAGGUCAUGGCCUAUCUCAAGAAAGAAGACCCUCACCUUGUCAAUCAUUUUCAGAACAAGCUGUGGCUGGCAAGAUUUGUCUACCUUGUGGACAUUUUCAACGAGCUCAACACACUGAACACAAGCCUUCAAGGAAAGGAGAGCAGCACUUUGGAGCUUGAAGAUGGAAUUCAAGUAUUCACUGCACUCUGUGGCAGUCCCAGUCCCAGCAGUCCUAGCUGGGUGCAGGAGAACUGGCAGUAUUUCCUGUCUUCCCCGCCUACCAAGAGAACAUGGGUGUUCCCCUGAGUGACUCUGUGAAGCAGAACAUACGGUAGUUGAGCACAUGUCUGGCCUACAGGAGAACUUUGAGGGGUACUUCCCUGACUCACAGGGAUCUCACAACCUUCAGUAGGUGAAGUAUUCCCUCCAAGCUGUGCCAUCACUAGAGCUGAGUCUAAGUCAGACAGAGUUAGAGGCACUGGUCACACUGCAGGUCAACAAUGGCAGUAAGAUGCUGUCUGAGACAAUCACCCUCUCACAGUUUUGGAUUGCUCAUCUCCAGCAGGAAGAGUUCUCAUGCUUGGCUAGGAAAGCUGUAGAUGUGUUGGCACCACAUACUUAAAAAACAAAUACAGAAACAGACUAAAUGCUCAGUAUGACCUCAGAAUAGCACUUUCAAAAACAAAGACCAGAAUAAAUCUGCUGGUUGAAAACUUCAACCAGCCACAUACCUGUCAUUAGAUUUCAUUGUGCUAUAGAUGAAAUAUUAUACCCCUUCUAGCAUGUCAGGUCAGUAUAAUUUUAAAAUAAGUCAGUAAAAAUUAAUCAGAAUAUUGCACCUUGGGAUUUAAGGCUGAGGGACGGAAGGACAGGGUAAGAAAUAAAGAGUUGAGAAGGGGGUGAGAAAUAAAAAGGAGAGUAGAACAUGUUUGUUCAUUUAAAAGUGUUACAAACUUGUAUGUACAUAUUCUAUGAGGUGAUGAGAAACUUACACUCAGCAAAUUAGAUUAUUGCUGUCACGUACUUUUAUAAUGAAAUAAAUACAUUUCAUAUACAUUUUAAA
This is a long non-coding RNA of Thunnus maccoyii (southern bluefin tuna), 2148 nucleotides long. RefSeq lists it as uncharacterized. Lineage: Eukaryota; Metazoa; Chordata; Actinopteri; Scombriformes; Scombridae. The record is from RefSeq and is a predicted model, not a curated record. The transcript has 2 exons.